Molecule: ribosomal RNA, 478 nt
Filed under: uncultured bacterium
Lineage: Bacteria
Description: partial 16S ribosomal RNA
Rfam family: Bacterial small subunit ribosomal RNA
Source: RNAcentral
GAUGAACGCUGGCGGCGUGCUUAACACAUGCCAGUCGAACGAGAAGUGAAGACGGAAACCUUCGUGCGGAAGGCUUUAUUUCGAGUGGCGGACGGUUGAGUAACGCCUGGGUAACCUGCCUCAUACAGGGGGAUAACAGUUGGAAACGACUGUUAAUACCGCAUAAGACCACAGCACCGCAUGGUGCGGGGGUAAAAACUCCGGUGGUAUGAGAUGGACCCGCGUUCGAUUAGCCAGUUGGCGGGGUAACGGCCCACCACAGCGACGAUCGAUAGCCGAUCAGAGAGGAAGAGCGCACACAUCGGGACUGAGCAACAGCGCAGACUCCUACGGGAGGCAGCAGAGGGGAAUAUAGCAAAAUGGGGGAAACGCUGAUGCAGCGACGCUGCGUGAGUGAAGAAGUAUUGCAGUAUGUAAAGCUCGAUCAGCAGGGAAGAAAAUGACGGUACCUGAGUAAGAAGCCCCGGCUAACUACGUG